GAUGAAGAACGCAGUGAAAUGCGAUAAGUAGUGUGAAUUGCAGAAUUCAGUGAAUCAUCGAAUCUUUGAACGCACAUUGCGCCCCUUGGUAUUCCAUGGGGCAUGCCUGUUCGAGCGUCAUUUGUACCUUCAAGCCUUGCUUGGUGUUGGGUGUUUGUCUCGCCUCUGCGCGCAGACUCGCCUCAAAACAAUUGGCAGCCGGCGUAUUGAUUUCGGAGCGCAGUACAUCUCGCGCUUUGCACUCAGAACGACGACGUCCAAAAGUACAUUUUUACACACUUGACCUCGGAUCAGGUAGGGAUACCCGCUGAACUUAAGCAUAUCAAUAAGCGGAGGA
RNAcentral lists this unclassified non-coding RNA (337 nucleotides) under soil metagenome. RNAcentral describes it as "partial contains 5.8S ribosomal RNA, internal transcribed spacer 2, and large subunit ribosomal RNA". The stretch from base 1 to 120 matches the Rfam family "5.8S ribosomal RNA", at positions 35 to 154 of the family's 154-position model. The record is from RNAcentral.